AGUGAACGCUGGCGGUAGGCCUAACACAUGCAAGUCGAACGGCAGCACAGUAAGAGCUUGCUCUUACGGGUGGCGAGUGGCGGACGGGUGAGGAAUACAUCGGAAUCUACUUUUUCGUGGGGGAUAACGUAGGGAAACUUACGCUAAUACCGCAUACGACCUACGGGUGAAAGCAGGGGAUCUUCGGACCUUGCGCGAUUGAAUGAGCCGAUGUCGGAUUAGCUAGUUGGCGGGGUAAAGGCCCACCAAGGCGACGAUCCGUAGCUGGUCUGAGAGGAUGGUCAGCCACACUGGAACUGAGACACGGUCCAGACUCCUACGGGAGGCCGCAGUGGGGAAUAUUGGACAAUGGGCGCAAGCCUGAUCCAGCCAUACCGCGUGGGUGAAGAAGGCCUUCGGGUUUUAAAGCCCUUUUGUUGGGAAAGAAAAGUAGCAGGUUAAUACCCCGCUGUUCUGACGGUACCCAAAGAAUAAGCACCGGCUAACUUCGUG
Molecule: ribosomal RNA, 492 nt
Filed under: uncultured bacterium
Lineage: Bacteria
Description: partial 16S ribosomal RNA
Rfam family: Bacterial small subunit ribosomal RNA
Source: RNAcentral